AUUAGAAAUGUUUUAUUAGGUUUUUUCAAGCAUCUCUUUAAGACACUUUCUAAACUAUACAGUAUCAGCUGGGCUUCAUUCUGAAAAAUCGGAUGAAAAAAAAAGGUGCGGAACAAGUAGCAGGAAAAAGAUAUGUGGAGAUCUUUCAAGUUUUCUGUACAUCCACAGCAGGAACCCAGCUGAGUGUUGUUGGAAGAGGAUAAAAGGACUUUAGUGUCUGUGCUACAGCGCAGGGAGGGCUGUAGCUCAUUUCACUCUGGAUGAGUCACCGGCUCCGAGUGAAUGUUCACAGAGUUGAUCUCACCAUCAUCCAUUUACCAUGACUCAUCAGGACAUUCACAUAAAAUGUUAUUUCAGCCUAGUGAAUACACUUUUUAUUUCAAAACCAUGAACAAGAACACACAAAGGAACAAACAACUCGGCACGAUCCACGAGCCUCAAUCCUCUCUCUCUCCCUCUCACAAAGAGGGGAAACCUCUUGAAGAUAAUGAUGCUUUCAACAAGCGGGGACGAUUAGCAUCAACUUACUGGAAAAAAAAAAAAAAGAGCAUGCUAGCAAAAGCUGAAAACCCCUAAACGCUACAUGAUGAGAUGGGAGCAUUAACAGGAUAGAGAUAAAUCUGUUUUUAGUAUGGACCAUUGUAUGGGCAGAAAUCUGUGCCAUCAGAAACUGAAUUUGAAUAAGUUCAAUUUGAAUUUGAAUGGCUCCGAUUGAAUCUGAAUUGUAACUUGAAUAAAUGCUUUUGAAAACUGAAUUUGAAUUAGUCUAAUUUGAAAUUGAAUUUAUGGUUUGAAAAUGAAUUGAUUUGCUUUGAAACUGCAUUUUAUCCUUUAAAAAUUCAGCUCUCGAAUAAUUUCAGUUUCACUUCUCACCAUUCAGUUUCAGUUCUACAAUUCAAUUUCAGUUCCAAAAUUCAGUUUUUUGGAACUUACAUCCGGUUCCGGUUCAAGCGCAGAUUAAUAGAACUACGUUUUACUAGCGGACCGAAAGUGUUACUGACAGGAAUCUACAGCAUCUUGAGCUGAAUUAAGACUUCAGAAGUCAUUCGUCAUGUCGAAUGACCAGCGGAUAAACUCUCAGGUGUUUUGUGCCAGAAAUGGAGUGUCCACUGAAGACUGAAGAUACUGAAUCUCUACGCCUUGCCAUUGAUCCCUAUUGUGCCUUCAUCUAGACAAGAGACAUUAACUUAACCACUCUCAUAUGCUCUGUACCUACAUCACCUUCCCUGACAGUCGUAGCUUGG
Astatotilapia calliptera (eastern happy) is the source of this 1244-nucleotide long non-coding RNA. Lineage: Eukaryota; Metazoa; Chordata; Actinopteri; Cichliformes; Cichlidae. The record is from Ensembl.